This 462-nucleotide ribosomal RNA is filed under the name uncultured bacterium. RNAcentral's name for it is "partial 16S ribosomal RNA". It matches the Rfam family "Bacterial small subunit ribosomal RNA", at positions 28 to 523 of the family's 1533-position model. The record is from RNAcentral.
GAUGAAUGCUGGCGGCGUGCCUAACACAUGCAAGUCGAGCGGCAGCGCGGUCUUCGGACCGGCGGCGAGCGGCGGACGGCUGAGUAACGCGUGGGAACAUACCCCAAAGUGAGGGAUAACCGCCCGAAAGGGUGGCUAAUACCGUAUAUGGUCUUCGGAUUAAAGGAUUUAUCCGCUUUGGGAUGGCCUGCGUACGAUUAGAUAGUUGGUGGGGUAAAGGCCUACCAAGUCUACGAUCGUUAACUGGUCUGAGAGGAUGAUCAGUCAGACUGGAACUGAGACACGGUCCAGACUCCUACGGGAGGCAGCAGUGAGGAAUCUUCCACAAUGGGCGAAAGCCUGAUGGAGCAACGCCGCGUGCAGGAUGAAGGCCUUCGGGUCGUAAACUGCUUUUAUGAGUGAAGAAUAUGACGGUAACUCAUGAAUAAGCACCGGCUAACUACGUGCCAGCCGCCGCAGUAA